Molecule: long non-coding RNA, 978 nt
Filed under: Equus asinus (donkey)
Lineage: Eukaryota; Metazoa; Chordata; Mammalia; Perissodactyla; Equidae
Description: lncRNA (ENSEASG00005026269.1)
Source: RNAcentral
AAACUGCUGACAGAAGAUUAAGAUCAAGAACCGAUUACACAGGACAGAAUAAACUGAUAGGGAUGAUUAUAACUUUAAUGACUUUUUGAUUGAGAUAUUGCUGAUUUUUGAUGUUUUGCUUUUUUCAGAGUGAAGAAAACUUUUUUUCUCUAUUCUCUGAAAGAACUAUGACUUGCAACAAUUUAUAAACAAAAUUGAAACAUUUGUCUUUUCCUCCCUAUCUGAGCCCCCCAAAACGCAAAAACUUCUGAUAAGACACAAUUGGAAACAGUGGUUAUAUUACCAAGGCUUUGACUGGAACAUCAUGUUUGAAAAAACAGAUGGGCUUGAGUAUAACAAGACAGCUUUUGAGGAAUGAAGGUUGACAUUCUGGAAUAAAGCCACUUGGAAAUAUUGGCCUGGUACUGUGCUUAUGGGUUCUGUAACCUGAAAAACUUCGUAUUAAAUACCUGGUUACUAACUUACAUGAUACAGGCCCACCUUCAGGAGCCCACCAGCAUCACCGCCUUAUUAAAAGACUGGUUCAAUGAGAUGAAAUGACCUAUGCCCCAUUUCAGCAGGAAGUAGCUAGAUCCGUCGCCGCCCCCAAAUCCCUCAAGAUUGAGGGAGGACAUAAAAUAGGGGGGAGUUGAUAUCGACCCUGAUAUCAGUUUCCCCACAUUAAACUCAGCAUGUAUGGGGUUAAAACCAAAACACUCAUUCCCUGCUUACUCUCUGGCUUCCUGGCUCCAGAAUCCACUAUCCUCCAUGGAGACAGACACCGUCAAGGACAAGCACCUGGACUAUCUCCUCCCGCAAAGAGAUACGGGCUGGUGGGGAAGCUCCGACCAGCAAGGCCAUAUGCUCCCCCUCCCCUACCUGAAACCCCAAAUAGAAACCCUUCCUUUUAGCUUUUCGGGGAGUUUGGGAUUUCAGCGUUAGCUACCCUCUCUCCUUGCUCAGCGCUGUGCAAAAGUAAAGUUCCUACUUUCUUCCACC